Non-coding RNA from Eucalyptus grandis, 208 nucleotides. NCBI's taxonomy places the organism in Eukaryota, Viridiplantae, Streptophyta, Magnoliopsida, Myrtales, Myrtaceae. The record is from Rfam.
AUUUGUGAGAGAGAGCUUUCUUCAGUCCACUCAUGGAUGGAAUAAAGGGGGUUGAAAUAGCUGCCGACUCAUUCAUUCAAUCACACAGUAGAGAACAUGGGGCAAAUUAGUUUGUGCUUUUACUGGUGACUGUGUGAAUGAUGCGGGAGAUACUUUGCACCCCUCUUUUUCUGUGCUUGGACUGAAGGGAGCUCCUUCUCUCUCUUCA